This is a long non-coding RNA of Ostrea edulis (European flat oyster), 1993 nucleotides long. RefSeq lists it as uncharacterized. NCBI's taxonomy places the organism in Eukaryota, Metazoa, Mollusca, Bivalvia, Ostreida, Ostreidae. The transcript has 4 exons. The record is from RefSeq and is a predicted model, not a curated record.
CCGAAAGCCAUACUUUUGAAAACUGAAUGAUAAUUGAUACAUUGAUAAUAUCAUUUAGAAGAAUGUUGACGUACAGUAACUCUUAACUUGACGGACUAAACUGUAAUCAAGGAUUGACUGCAGGAAAAUAUAAACUUUGAUAAGAGAAACUUAAUAUAUCUAAACGGUUUCCUUUACAUAAUUACAUAUUCUUGUUGGUUGCAUUGUAUGAGGAAGUUGUUUCGAAAGUUGAUGCUUGCAUAAAUAUGUUGUUCUUGUGUUUUUGGAAAUAUACGAAAUAAAAAACCCUGAUGAUCUUUGUCUGAUAACUGAUGGAUGAUUCUGCCAUGAAAGACAGGUGUUUAUCAUUUAGAAUCAUGCAAAAAUUAAACGAAUACUUAAUGCCAAUAAACUUUACACUAAAGAGUACUACAUAUAAUUAUAUACUUACGAUUCCACUAAACUCGACAAGGCUGUCUGACGUCUGCAAGACGACGAAUACGAAAGUAGAAUCACGGACACUCGGUAAGAUACAAUUGAGUUUGUAUUGUUUAGUGUAAAUUCAAGGCUUUAUCAUUAUGCUUUCUUAAGUUCAUAUAUGCGAACAUGUAUUUCAGCCUGACGAGAAUUAAACGGGGCACACCUUAGAGAUAGUGGACGUUUAGUGACAGUGAUGACCUGGAUUGUUGUGUCGCAAGAUCACAGAGAUCCAAAUAUAAAUUACUGGCGAUAGAAUAUACACAUGAUUAAUAGCACUGUUUAUAAAUGUGCAUACAUCAAUGCAAUUUUCCAUAAUACACAGCAUGCUAGAUUAGAGGUGACAUAAAUUGAUCUCAAACGAAUCCCGGUUAUUUCUACAGCAUGUUAUGAACAUUGUAUAGGAAGUACAUGUAUAGUUUUCCCGUUAGAUCAAAUUGUCACACAUGUGUAUAUAAGGAGACAGUCAACGGGUAAGUAGGAAAAAGUACAUGCAUACAUGAUAUAUAUGAUUUUGUUCCUAUCUGUAAAAGACUAAAGUGUCUGAUGUUUGACUACAUAUUGUUUAAGUUGUUGAUUAAGUACAAGUUGCAUUGAGACGCUUGGUGAAUAUCGUGUUUAGUUCAUUUUCAAUGGAUCACAUCAGAUAAUUCAUAGUAUAAUAUACUUAAAGUACCGAAAGUCUAUAAAACGUAUCUAAAUCUAAUAUUGAAAUUGCAAAAUAAAUUGCAAAAUAAAUUGUAUAUGAUCACUGGUGUUUUCGAUUACAUUUUUGUGUGUGUACAAUUUAAGGAAAUCUUGAACAAGAUGUAAGGAUAAGCUGACAGAGGUAUUGUUUCUACUAACGAGGUAAAAUUGAUAACUACGAUGCCUGCAUUUGGUGACAACACUAUAUCAUAAUCGUAUUAAUCGAUUCAUGAUCUGAAUGUACCAUGCAUUUUAUUUUAUUUAAAAUAGAAUGACAAUGAUAUCAUGUUAAAGGAUUACAUCAGCAGAGCUGGCUUUUAUGGAUGUUGGUGUGGGUGCCAGUAAUACACGUUUCCUCCGGAUGUUUCGGAUGCUGUCAGGAAGGUAACAGACAGGAUGUUCACACAGCGUGGCAUAGAAAUUCCCCACCAAGAUGCACACCAAAUUUUGGCUGUUUUUUGGAAAGUUUCAAUCUUGAUAAUUAGGAAGAUAAUGGCAAACAUAUUCGAAGUCCCCUCAUUGAUCGAUGAGAAUCUCUCAGCAUACUGAAGAUCUGAAUUGUACUUCGGGGUCAAGGGAAACACUGGCUUUCCAGGGCUUUCCAGGGAUUUGAUGGAAGUGGAAUAAGUUACAAUAAGUGGUUCAUCAAAGGAAAAUUGUUCCACAGCAGUUGAUCCGACCUAAAAUGGAACUCAAGCACAUACUUUUUCACUAUCGCAGGAUCCCGGUGUGGCAGAUGUGAUGAAUGUCUACAUCUAGACAGUAUAAGGUUCCAGAUGACUGCCUUUUUGCCAAAAAGAAUUUUUUUAUUCUACACAAUGAGAUGUAUAAUAAAAAUGGAGAAUUUGGA